Molecule: long non-coding RNA, 1307 nt
Filed under: Citrus x clementina
Lineage: Eukaryota; Viridiplantae; Streptophyta; Magnoliopsida; Sapindales; Rutaceae
Description: Citrus clementina (C. clementina) long non-coding RNA (CCLE_LNC001163)
Source: RNAcentral
UAAACUUCCAAUUUUACCCCUCCACUGUUAAACUUAACUGAGAAAAUAACGGAAUUGGGGGCGUGGUGCAAAAAUGUCAAUUUUUUUGGGUGCGCAGUGCAACAAGUCAAAUUUGUUGGGGACGCGGUGAAAAAUGUCAAUUUAUUUGGGGGUAGGUUACAAAUUUCCCUAAGAUUAUAUCUAUUGUGAUGUAUCAAAACUGAAAUAACAAUGUUGACUUCAUAAUGAAAGUUGAUGUUAAUAUGUUAUAGUUACAUCUUUAAUUACAAAAUUAAAUUAAGAAACAAUGAUAGUAUAUAUUUUUUAAUGUUAUCAAACUAAUUAACUUGUUAAUCUUCUUAAUUGUGAAGGGCAAAUAUAUGUCCCGCUUAAAAAGAUAUUUGUGUCAAACUACUAACUUUUAAAAUUUUAUAUUGAUAUGUUGAAAAAAAAGAAAAACAAACAUGCUAUUUAGAUAUUUAUAUUCAGAACUAUUCAGAUUUUGGUUAAGUUUAAACUUAUUUAGAUUUCGAAUAAGAAAAAAUAAGUAACCUUGGACUUACCAUUUGUAGGUUUUAGUUAAUUUUGUUUUCUUUUAAUUUUUGUUCAUUUUUACAAAUGCUGUUGUUCUAUAUUUCAGUUUUUUCGUGGUUCAAAUUUUUUAAACCGAAAUUGUAUUGAUUAUUAAACCAAAUGGCUUAGUUUGGUUGAAUUAUACUUCUAUCCUUAUGAGUCCAUGUAUACAUACAGAUCUAUCCCACCGCUUUGUUAUCCUAAGCCCACUUGAAUUUGUAUUUUAUUUUACUCAUUCAUUCAUUUAUUUAUUUUUUAAUAUGACUACUCAAUUAGUUACAAUAAACCAAUAAUAUAAUUUAGAAGCUAACAGAUGCAAUCCCAAUUUUAAGCUCCAACAAUCCUGGUUCAUGGUAAAGACAUUGCAGAAAAUAUCUAUGUGUAGGAACUUGUUCAUAUGUUAUUGAAGUUGGAUUUAUUAAUAAUUAAUAUUAUUCUUAUUGCAUCAUAUUCACAGGCGAGCUUCUCAAUAUGGCACGGUGGCUCCCCCCUCGGCCAAGAGAUAAACAUAAACUUGACGCUGUGUAUGAGUCCAAGACUGCCACCCAAUGUGUCAGUCAGAGAAGCAUUUAAAACAAACAGAUCAUCAAUUCAUCAUCUUUGUUUAGUGAGAACCGUUCGAUUAGCAUCCAAUGCUCUACUCCGCAGGAUCCCGUACUUUGUCCUUCGAAUCGACGUGUGUGCAUUGACAAUUACAUAAAACUGGAAAAAAUCAUAAAAAUAAAAAGAAAAUAAAUUUAGGUAGUGUUUAUUUU